CUAAUAAGACAUCCCUUUUCUUCAAUUCAAAUAAGUGGAGCUACUGCACAUUUCAAAUCAUAAACUUAAUUUUUCUGCUGCUGUCAAUGUACUAGAUGAACUUAGUAAAAUUGCAUGGUUCUUUAUCACGCUGGACUGGAAUUAAUGUCAACUGCAUUCAAGUCUCAAACCCUGGAACUAGUUCUGUCCUCUAUAAUCAUGGAUAUCCCCAGAAUCCUCUGCAACUCUUGGCAGCAUCCAAUCUACCAAGCAUUCCCCGGAGAGAAAAACAGAAGCUGUUUUUCUGCCAGGGAAGUGAUGAGCUUCUUUUUAGCAGGUGGUCAAAAGCUAUGCCAGAGCUAUGACUUCCAACACUGCUUUUGAAAGAAUAACAUGCCUGCAGUCAGGGCAGAAGAAGGCUGCAAAGAAGGAUCACCUAUACCCCAUUAACAAAGAUUAGCGUCACUCCCUAAUAGUGUGGCUUUGGGAGCCAGCAUUUAAAGCCUGUCACCGACAGUGUUCCUUAUUUAUGUUCGCAGACAAGUGAUCACGGGGCUUUGAGCAUGACUUUCUUGGAAGGGCACAGCAAGACAGAUAAUGGGACUUAACCUGGUCUCAGAACUGUUGCUGAGAAAAACAGCUGGCAUUACCCUCUCACUUUGAAACUGUGUUGUCCAAUGCAGUAACCCUAUAUGGCUAUUUAAAUCCAAAUCAAUUACAGUUAGAUAAGAUUACUGUCCACAUAGCCAAGACGGUGGCUAGUGGUUACCAUACUGGACAGUGCAGAUAUGAUUUCCAACAUCCCAGGAAGUUCUAAGAUGAGUGCCACAUCUUCCUCCUCUGCCAUCUUGAUGCCACCUCCCUCUUUGCAGGUCUCAGUGAGGAGUGGCCCCUCCAAAAUGGGGCUGCUCCCCCAGUGAUCCCACAGACAGUGGAUGAGCAAGGAGCACAGGCACAUCAAGGACCUCCUGGAGGAGAGCUGUCAGGGUGAGGAUGAAGGAAUUCCUCCCGACUCAAGCCAAGUGAGGGACCACUCCAAGGAAUAUGCUUGCACAGCUUGGCAUGCUUCCCUAAAGAACUGCUCUCUGAACAUCUCCCGGAAGAAUCCCGAGGGGAGAAGGUACCUGGGAGAACUCCAGUGGCUGACUGAGAAGAGGGGGUUUCCGGGAGUAGCCAGUAUUUCCAGAGGGCAUGGGGCCAAGGUGCCGCUUGGGAAGAUGACUUGAUGCAGGUGUAAAGGUUCACCCCGUCAGAGGUCUACCUACCAGGGCAUAUUGACUCUCAGGGAAUCUGGGCAGAGUGGGCUAACCAUCGGGGGUAAGAGAGGACCCCUAAGUGGUCAUCACAGGAAGCCUUGACCAGCCCGGUAGAUAUUCCUAUGAGGAGCCUCAGCAGAGUCCUCGAAAUUGGGAAUCCAGGAGAUAAAGGGUCCACACUUGAGAAUAUGCUACUUUGAGGUCACAAACACUAAAUCACAACUGUAACCUUCAGGAAAGACCUUUUGGCACCACCUUCCAAACACACCCCCACUCCACCCCAGCCAACCUCUACUUUCUGUCUUUCUUCAGCCCCAAGGAACAAGCAAGAUGAGCAAAAUAAGAGACUAAAAAACAAACAAACAAACAAAUAGGGAAAAACAUACUACCCACCUCUGACCCACUGUAGGCUUCUAAGGCUAAUCAGACCAAGAGCUGCUGGUGGACAGAGGAACUUUACACGGGAAAGACUGAAGUCGCACUGGACCCGCUCGUCAGCAUUGAACGUGACAAUGAAAGUGCUCAUCAACCUAAAGCUUACUGGGAAACUUAGGUAUCUUCCCAUGAAAGCAUGCAGGGGUGGAGAAGAGAGGACCAAGAGAGGAGCUAAGACAGCGACGUGAGAAAAUAAAGCCGUUGUAUGAUUUCACUCGACAAACUCAGAAGGUUCUAGAAGAAAUGUGUGAGACAGGUGCAGCCCAAGUAGGACAGCAGGAUGUGAUAACCCAUGAGGAGGUGAUGGUGAGUGCACAACAUUAAGAAUGACACCAGAGAGCUGCCAGUUUGGGAAAGCAGACUACUUGUCAUGGCAACGCCAGGAGGCAUAAAGAAUUAGCUCCAUCUGACACAGAGGAAAUGGCAGCUCAAAGAAGUUCAAUAACUGGCCCAAGAACACUAGUGAGUGGCAGAGCCGGGAUGCCCCUGGUGGGGCUCUUAACCACCCCACUGCCACUUCGGCACAGAGCGACCUUGAACGGAGGCCCUUUUCAAGAAGUGGCUCAUGCGCAUCCCCAGUUCUGAAACUCUCUGGCAGAAAGUAGGGCAGAGUUGAUGCUGCCUUCCAAUAUCCAUUCCCCCGCUUUCCUUAGCAAGAGGGCACCGUGUACCAGAACUUUCCCAAAGGCAAAGCAAGAGUUUGAAGGUGUCCUCCUUGGUACUGUUAGGAGUGGAUGGCUGGAGCUCCACUGGCGAUCUUGGACCAUGAGGUAACUGUAAAGCCAUUUGCAAAGCCAUACACUACAAAGUACCGAUGUCUCUGGAUUUAUUUUGUGUUGGAGUUGCCAUACCCGGCUGGACUGCCUGUCUCCAGACUUCUUUCAGAUGAGAGGAGAAACCAUUGUUUCAGGUUUUUGUACAGGCAGCCUACCCCUGAUCCUAACUGGGAAAUCAGAAAGCCCACUGGAGAGGUUAUACGCCUCGAAUUUCAAAGUCUCACGCGCCUCCUUCAAAAGCAUCUUACCCACAUGUCCGUGGGCUGUGAAAAGUUCCUGCAGAUGGCCUCCCCGUGGUGGAGAGUGUGUAUGUCCAUGACUGCCGUCUUCGGAUUGGAUUUGAACCUGAGGAUGCCCACACCUCCGACAGGCAUAAACUCCCAGACACCGCCUCCAUCACUGGUUGUCUUGGGGAGGUAUUUUUUAAAACAUUUCCUAGCUAUUUCUUUUGCUCUUCCUUCCCACCCCCAUCCCCGUGCCAGGGAGAGAGGGAAAAAAAUUUAGCCAGGCAAUUGUACAUCCAAUUCCCUUUCUUAAUUAGACUCGAAACAUUUGGAAAGCAGUGGCAUAGUCGCUUGAAGAGCAUUUGCAAAUUAUCCACGAGUGCAAAGCUAGCACAUUAAGGAAAGCAACGGGGGUCGGAGAAGACGUUCCAAGCUGGUGGAGAGGGCGACCCAGAUCCCCAGAGGCAGCUGUCAAUCAUGGCUGGUGGGAGGCGGGGAGCUCCUAAUUCCUUCUCUCAUUGCCAGCCACACGCUAAGAAGGGCUCGCGUGAAAUAUUAAAAAAAAAAAAAAAAAAAGGAAAAAAAGCGCCGACAGCACCGCUAUGAAAUCUCUCAUCCCAAACUAACACAACACAGUGCCUAAUGGAUUUUAGGGAAGCAGUCAAAUAUAUAAUCAUUUCCUGGUAGCGGAGAUUAGAUUUCAUACACCACAGCUCAGCCCAAACUUAAGUGGAGAGAAAUAAAGAACAGAGUUCCUUUUCCAAAAGAAAAAUAUACUUCUAAUCCACUGACAGACCAGUAACUCUGCCUCCCAAACUCUGCAGUCUCGGGGAAGAGAGCAGUUAUCUUGGUCCUGAGUAUUUUCUGACUUUGCUGGUUCUUGGGAACCACUUGUGUUGUAACAGGUGUAGGAACCGCCUAGAGCAGACCCUGGGCUGUCUUCUCCCAGAAAAUGGUAAUGAGCAGGUUGGCGCACAGCAAGCACUCAGUGGAUGCUGACUCUGACAACGCCGAUACCUCCCAAGACGGGCCAGGCUAUUUCAUUUUUAGACGGUUCUAAUGAAAAAGUUAUUCCUUGAGCGGGGCUAACGUCGAUUCCUCUGUAGCUUUCACUCCUGGUUCUAUUUCUGGUUUGGAAAGGCACAUGGGACACACCCAGACUCUCUUCCCUGUGGUGGUCCCUCCAGGAUGCAAAGUAGAUGUACCACCAAUAUCUUCCUUCUCUGGCCUAAAAGAGCCACGGCUUCUGCCUUAAAGGUUCCAGUCUAGCAUGCUUGGGGCUCUCAGCAUGGCCAAGGGCAAAAAGCUGUAUUCUACCCUUAGGUACUCGGAGGAGGUGUGCAGACCGAGCAGGAGCCCCGAGGGGGACCACUUCUUGGGGUUGACAGUUCCCAGGGCUCCCUCAUGCCUUGCACAGAGGGGGGAGCAAUAAAUCAAUAAAUGAUUGCAUGGGAGUUUCUGUUGUGGCUCAGCACUAAUGAACCCAACUAGUAUCCAUGAGGACGCAAGUUCAAUCCCUGGCCCCCUUCAGUGGGUUAAGGAUUCGGCACUGCUGUGAGCUGCAGUGCAGACCAAAAACUUGACUCUGAUCUGGCAUUACUGCAGCUGUGGUGUAGGCUGGCAGCUGUGGCUCCAAUUCGACCCCUAGCCUAGGAACUUUCAUAUGAUAUGCCUCAAGUAUGGUCCUAAAGUUAAAAAAAAAAAAAAGAUUUCAUGAAUGAUUAUGAUUUUUAUUGAAUUAAAGCCCAAAUUCUUUUGCUUGUUCCUGUAUGUACUUUGAUCACGGUGUUUGGAUGGGACCUAGGACUCUAUUUGGGUCCGUUUCUGCUCCUUUUCACCUCGUUAUAGCCCAUGGGAAUUCCAGCAUGUUGAGAUCUUUUGGUUUCAUGAUUUAAUCAUAUCACAAAUGACCUGUCCCUCCCAGCGUCAUCAGCCCAUGACACUAAAAACUCAGUAAAGGGACUGAGGGUGAUUGGGAACAUUACCUAGUGCAGCAGAUCUGUGCCAGGUCAGGGGAUGGCGCAGAGAAACAGAUCAGAGGGAUUCAGAAAGUCUGAGGUGCCGCUCAAGAGGACAUGCAGGCAGAAGGGAGGGGGAAAAGGUGACAGGUCGUGGAGUCAUUGCUUAACUCUAACAGACAAGCAGGGGACGCUAUGAGGCCAUAGAGGGUCAGGGGCCACGCGCGCACGCACACGAUGCCUCAAGCUCCCAGCAGCCUUCUGGCAUCAAGAACGAAACUGCUACCUCUGAUACAUGAGGAGCCUUUAGCUGUGCCUUAAACACGCCCCCAGCGGGGAAGGCAGCAUUUGGGGUACCACUCCUGGAUGUGGCCCCUGCACUGCUUCCGUUUCAGCCUGCUGAGCACGGAGCAGAUAGGAACUUUACUGGCUCCAACAAAGAAAGAAUCCCUGGAGGAUGACAAUGAGGCUAUGUUUUAUCCUGAAUUACAAGCACCGGAGUUAGGAGGACGAUGUCUAGGUUUUACUGACGACCACCAUGUGAAACAUGCAAAUCACUCAAAGACGGAGAAGAGGAGACGCUGCUGUUGGGAAUCUCUGAAAAGAGUAUCUCGCCGCCAUGGAAGGAGAAAAGCUGGGACAAGAAAUGAAAACUCAGAAUUCAAGAGCGAAACUGUAGAAUAGAGAGGGGUUGGGUCUUGGGGUCCACACAUUGGGAAAAAAAUCGAGAUAAAAAUCAUUGCUAACUUAAUUCUGUCUAUCAGAAAGGGCUCACUAGUAACAAAAAAACCCCACAAAAACUCUACUCCCUGUUUGUCAACUCAGCUGUGUCUCAGACAACAUGUCAAUUUGUUUAAAACACACACAGAAAGAAGCAGCUUCUCUUCCAGUUGACAGAGCAAAAAUCCUUUGCUCUUCUGUCCAGCAACCCGAAGAAAAACAAGGGAAUUUGUGGCUUGGUUUCCUUGACAACCUUAUCUUCACGCCAGGCGCCAUCUCCUGUCUCUAAGCAACGGGGCACUCUUCAGAAUUACCAGGAGGUAAAACCCAGCACUUAUCCGGAGUCUAGGAGGACCAAGCCAAUCAGGGCAGAGCAACUGGUCCCUUUCGGGGCAGAACCCCGGGAGCAUGGAAAGGUACAUGGUCCCAAAUGUCCUCACCAGACCCCAUACACACCCCAGCAUCCCCCCAAGUCCUUAGUGCCUGGAAUUCCACCUCGACACUCCCCGCCCCCCACCCUGGCUUAUUCCUCUGUCCUCUGGAGGGGUCGGUGACUCAGUUCAUCAGCUGGCUUUUCCCACAUGCCCCCCUCUGCCAACAGAAAAGCCCUCCGUGGCCCUGGUAUGAAGGAGAGGUAGACCCAGGACUCAGGGCAGGAAAAGGAAAACAAAAAGACGCCGCCGUGACUUAGGGAUUUUCGUAAACAAAUGGCUUUGCUGGAGGACACUGUUUGAUUAAAAGGGGAUGAGAGAAAAAUGCCUAUUUUGCUGUCCUGACAUUUAAGAAGACUUCGUUUGCACCUGAAAACAGGAUGCCAAGAUUUGUCUUUCUUCCCAGACCAGCAGGCGCCCCACCGCUUCCCUAGCAUCUCUGCACCGGGAAGGAUUUCUGAGCAUAUACAGAAGAGGAGCUAAUAACAAAAUCUCUGGAAAUGACAGCUCUGAACUUUAAUCACAGCAAGAGAAGAGAGCUGAUGACUGCAAAGCUCGGAAGCAGAAAGGGAAGGGAAUUUAGAAGGGGAAGGUGCCAACCAAGAGCACUUCCCACUGGCACGUCCCGUCAUCAGCAUCACUGCUGUUUACCUGGUACCUUUGGCUCAUUUCCCACGACCACAUUUUAUUCUCAUACCACCUGUGAAGCAGGGAGUGGGCCGGAAUUAUUCACCUUCCUUCCUUCAACUCAGAAAGCUGCUGUGCAUAAUGAUCACACACAUUUAUUCUCCGAAUAAGAGCAAAAC
This 6585-nucleotide long non-coding RNA is filed under the name Sus scrofa (pig). Its description in RNAcentral is "lncRNA (ENSSSCG00055012487.1)". Lineage: Eukaryota; Metazoa; Chordata; Mammalia; Artiodactyla; Suidae. The record is from RNAcentral.